AGUGAACGCUGGCGGUAGGCCUAACACAUGCAAGUCGAACGGCAGCACAGUAAGAGCUUGCUCUUACGGGUGGCGAGUGGCGGACGGGUGAGGAAUACAUCGGAAUCUACUUUUUCGUGGGGGAUAACGUAGGGAAACUUACGCUAAUACCGCAUACGACCUACGGGUGAAAGCAGGGGAUCUUCGGACCUUGCGCGAUUGAAUGAGCCGAUGUCGGAUUAGCUAGUUGGCGGGGUAAAGGCCCACCAAGGCGACGAUCCGUAGCUGGUCUGAGAGGAUGAUCAGCCACACUGGAACUGAGACACGGUCCAGACUCCUACGGGAGGCAGCAGUGGGGACUAUUGGACAAUGGGCGAAAGCCUGAUCCAGCCAUACCGCGUGGGUGAAGAAGGCCUUCGGGUUGUAAAGCCCUUUUGUUGGGAAAGAAAAGCAGCAGGUUAAUACCCCGCUGUUCUGACGGUACCCAAAGAAUAAGCACCGGCUAACUUCGUG
This 492-nucleotide ribosomal RNA is filed under the name uncultured bacterium. RNAcentral's name for it is "partial 16S ribosomal RNA". It matches the Rfam family "Bacterial small subunit ribosomal RNA", at positions 29 to 507 of the family's 1533-position model. The record is from RNAcentral.